Non-coding RNA from Triticum urartu, 120 nucleotides. The record is from Rfam. Lineage: Eukaryota; Viridiplantae; Streptophyta; Magnoliopsida; Poales; Poaceae.
UCCAGAAAUACUUGUCAUCAAAAUGGAUAAAAGGAAAUGUAUCUAGACGUAUUUUAGUUUUAGAUACAUCUCUUUUUAUCCAUUUUGAUGACAAGUAUUUUCGGACGGAGGGAGUAGAAA